RNAcentral lists this ribosomal RNA (253 nucleotides) under uncultured bacterium. RNAcentral's name for it is "partial 16S ribosomal RNA". It matches the Rfam family "Bacterial small subunit ribosomal RNA", at positions 524 to 776 of the family's 1533-position model. The record is from RNAcentral.
UACGUAGGUGGCAAGCGUUGUCCGGAUUUACUGGGCGUAAAGAGCGCGCAGGCGGUCGUUUAAGUCGAAUGUGAAAGCCCCCGGCUCAACUGGGGAGGGUCAUUCGAUACUGAUCGACUCGAAGGCAGGAGAGGGAAGUGGAAUUCCCGGUGUAGUGGUGAAAUGCGUAGAUAUCGGGAGGAACACCAGUGGCGAAGGCGACUUCCUGGCCUGUUCUUGACGCUGAGGCGCGAAAGCUAGGGGAGCAAACGGG